This 668-nucleotide ribosomal RNA is filed under the name uncultured bacterium. Its description in RNAcentral is "bacterial SSU rRNA". It matches the Rfam family "Bacterial small subunit ribosomal RNA", at positions 38 to 705 of the family's 1533-position model. The record is from RNAcentral.
GUCGGGCGGGUGCUACCAUGCAAGUCGAGCGAAGCGAUUUUGAGGAAGUUUUCGGAUGGAAUCGAAAUUGACUUAGCGGCGGACGGGUGAGUAACACGUGGGUAAUCUGCCUUAUACAGGGGGAUAACAGUUAGAAAUGACUGCUAAUACCGCAUAAGCGCACGGGGACGCAUGUUUCUGUGUGAAAAACUCCGGUAGUAUAAGAUGAGCCCGCGUCUGAUUAGCUGGUUGGUGGGGUAACGGCCUACCAAGGCGACGAUCAGUAGCCGGCCUGAGAGGGUGAACGGCCACAUUGGGACUGAGACACGGCCCAAACUCCCACGGGAGGCAGCAGUGGGGAAUAUUGCACAAUGGGGGAAACCCUGAUGCAGCAACGCCGCGUGAGUGAAGAAGGUUUUCGGAUUGUAAAGCUCUGUUAGCAGGGAAGAGGAAGGACGGUACCUGCAGAGGAAGCCACGGCUAACUACGUGCCAGCAGCCGCGGUAAUACGUAGGUGGCAAGCGUUGUUCGGAAUAACUGGGCGUAAAGGAUGCGUAGGCGGUUAAACAAGUUAUAUGUUAAAUAUAUAGGCUUAACCUGUAGAAAGCAUAUAAAACUGUUUAACUAGAGUGCAGGAGAGGUAAGUGGAAUUCCUAGUGUAGCGGUGAAAUGCGUAGAUAUCUGAAUGA